This 332-nucleotide ribosomal RNA is filed under the name uncultured cyanobacterium. Its description in RNAcentral is "bacterial SSU rRNA". It matches the Rfam family "Bacterial small subunit ribosomal RNA", at positions 464 to 795 of the family's 1533-position model. The record is from RNAcentral. Lineage: Bacteria; Bacillati; Cyanobacteriota.
AAGGACUGACGGUACCUGAGGAAUCAGCAUCGGCUAACUCCGUGCCAGCAGCCGCGGUAAUACGGAGGAUGCAAGCGUUAUCCGGAAUUAUUGGGCGUAAAGCGUCCGUAGGUGGUUCAUCAAGUCAGUUGUUAAAGCGUGGGGCUUAACCCCAUAAAGGCGAUUGAAACUGGUGGACUAGAGUUUGGUAGGGGUCAGGGGAAUUCCCAGUGUAGCGGUGAAAUGCGUAGAUAUUGGGAAGAACACCGGUGGCGAAAGCGCCUGACUGGGCCUGAACUGACACUGAGGGACGAAAGCUAGGGGAGCGAAUGGGAUUAGAUACCCCAGUAGUC